RNAcentral lists this ribosomal RNA (679 nucleotides) under uncultured Staphylococcus sp. RNAcentral's name for it is "bacterial SSU rRNA". It matches the Rfam family "Bacterial small subunit ribosomal RNA", at positions 61 to 722 of the family's 1533-position model. Lineage: Bacteria; Bacillati; Bacillota; Bacilli; Caryophanales; Staphylococcaceae. The record is from RNAcentral.
GUCGAGCGAACGGACGAGAAGCUUGCUUCUCUGAUGUUAGCGGCGGACGGGUGAGUAGCACGUGGAUAACCUACCUAUAAGACUGGGAUAACUUCGGGAAACCGGAGCUAAUACCGGAUAAUAUUUUGAACCGCAUGGUUCAAAAGUGAAAGACGGUCUUGCUGUCACUUAUAGAUGGAUCCGCGCUGCAUUAGCUAGUUGGUAAGGUAACGGCUUACCAAGGCAACGAUGCAUAGCCGACCUGAGAGGGUGAUCGGCCACACUGGAACUGAGACACGGUCCAGACUCCUACGGGAGGCAGCAGUAGGGAAUCUUCCGCAAUGGGCGAAAGCCUGACGGAACAACGCCGCGUGAGUGAUGAAGGUCUUCGGAUCGUAAAACUCUGUUAUUAGGGAAGAACAUAUGUGUAAGUAACUGUGCACAUCUUGACGGUACCUAAUCAGAAAGCCACGGCUAACUACGUGCCAGCAGCCGCGGUAAUACGUAGGUGGCAAGCGUUAUCCGGAAUUAUUGGGCGUAAAGCGCGCGUAGGCGGUUUUUUAAGUCUGAUGUGAAAGCCCACGGCUCAACCGUGGAGGGUCAUUGGAAACUGGAAAACUUGAGUGCAGAAGAGGAAAGUGGAAUUCCAUGUGUAGCGGUGAAAUGCGCAGAGAUAUGGAGGAACACCAGUGGCGAAGGC